This 434-nucleotide ribosomal RNA is filed under the name uncultured bacterium. Its description in RNAcentral is "partial 16S ribosomal RNA". It matches the Rfam family "Bacterial small subunit ribosomal RNA", at positions 29 to 507 of the family's 1533-position model. The record is from RNAcentral.
AGCGAACGCUGGCGGCAGGCCUAACACAUGCAAGUCGAACGAACCUUUCGGGGUUAGUGGCGGACGGGUGAGUAACACGUGGGAACGUGCCUUUAGGUUCGGAAUAACUCAGGGAAACUUGUGCUAAUACCGAAUGUGCCCUUCGGGGGAAAGAUUUAUCGCCUUUAGAGCGGCCCGCGUCUGAUUAGCUAGUUGGUUGAGGUAAUGGCUCACCAAGGCGACGAUCAGUAGCUGGUCUGAGAGGAUGAUCAGCCACAUUGGGACUGAGACACGGCCCAAACUCCUACGGGAGGCAGCAGUGGGGAAUCUUGCGCAAUGGGCGAAAGCCUGACGCAGCCAUGCCGCGUGAAUGAUGAAGGUCUUAGGAUUGUAAAAUUCUUUCACCGGGGACGAUAAUGACGGUACCCGGGGAAGAAGCCCCGGCUAACUUCGUG